AUUGAACGCUGGCGGAAUGCUUUACACAUGCAAGUCGAACGGCAGCACGGGGCAACCUGGUGGCGAGUGGCGAACGGGUGAGUAAUACAUCGGAACGUGCCCAAUCUGGGGGAUAACGUAGCGAAAGUUACGCUAAUACCGCAUACGAUCUACGGAUGAAAGCGGGGGAUCGCAAGACCUCGCGCGAAUGGAGCGGCCGAUGUCAGAUUAGGUAGUUGGUGGGGUAAAGGCUCACCAAGCCGACGAUCUGUAGCUGGUCUGAGAGGACGACCAGCCACACUGGGACUGAGACACGGCCCAGACUCCUACGGGAGGCAGCAGUGGGGAAUUUUGGACAAUGGGCGCAAGCCUGAUCCAGCCAUUCCGCGUGCAGG
This 374-nucleotide ribosomal RNA is filed under the name uncultured bacterium. RNAcentral describes it as "bacterial SSU rRNA". It matches the Rfam family "Bacterial small subunit ribosomal RNA", at positions 30 to 407 of the family's 1533-position model. The record is from RNAcentral.